RNAcentral lists this long non-coding RNA (715 nucleotides) under Monodelphis domestica (gray short-tailed opossum). RNAcentral describes it as "lncRNA (ENSMODG00000033655.2)". Lineage: Eukaryota; Metazoa; Chordata; Mammalia; Didelphimorphia; Didelphidae. The record is from RNAcentral.
AGCACUUCCUCUUAUCUGGUCAAAUUUAAUGGAAUCUGGACUUGGCUAAAAAAAAUGGAAUAGUUUCACAUUUGAGUUCCAAAGAAGUCAUGGGAUAACAUUAUUGAGCAGGAAUAUGAAGAAUCAACAAUGCAAAAUACCCAAAGAAACUUCUGGAAAUGUCUGCCCUUAUGCACCCCAUUCCUUGCCAAAGAAGUUAACAUUAUAGUAUAUCAAUUUGUCUGCCACUUAUGGAUUUCCUUGCUGGCUAGGGCUCUCACCAGAGGGAUAGGAUAGUAAAGGGAAGGUAUAUUCACCUCAAAGUUCAUCAUUUUAAACUCAACUCUGAGUACUUUAUCAAUUAUUCUUAAGAACUAAACAUCUGACAUUUUUUCCUAAACUAACUAGAGUAAAAAUCUCUUUUCUUUCUUCCAGGAAAGUGCUAUUUUCACUGCAACAAAGAUUGUAAGGCAUCCUACAGGGCUGCUCUUUUGCAGAUCAUUUGAACAAAUGCUGAUUUCUAUAGUUAGAGCUAUAUAAACCAAACCAUGAAUCCUUAAUCUGCAUCGGCUGUCAACAAUCUGUGCUUUGGCAAAAUCCCUGCCAGUGCUUUCCCUACAGUAGCCUGAAUAAUCAAGGUUUGGUUGUAUUUUAAAUGACUAUGUAACCCAAGAGCAUCUCUAAUUACACAAUUGCUUAAAAUAAAUCUUUACUGCAAUACUGAAAGUUAUUAAUA